Molecule: ribosomal RNA, 427 nt
Filed under: uncultured beta proteobacterium
Lineage: Bacteria; Pseudomonadati; Pseudomonadota; Betaproteobacteria
Description: bacterial SSU rRNA
Rfam family: Bacterial small subunit ribosomal RNA
Source: RNAcentral
UAGGGAAUCUUCCGCAAUGGACGAAAGCCUGAUCCAGCAAUGCCGCGUGAGUGAAGAAGGCCUUCGGGUUGUAAAGCUCUUUUAGUCGGAAAGAAAGAGUUGCAAUGAAUAGUUGUGAUUUAUGACGGUACCGACAGAAAAAGCAACGGCUAACUACGUGCCAGCAGCCGCGGUAAUACGUAGGGUGCGAGCGUUAAUCGGAAUUACUGGGCGUAAAGGGUGCGCAGGCGGUCUUGCAAGUCAGAUGUGAAAGCCCCGGGCUUAACCUGGGAAUUGCGUUUGAAACUACAAGGCUAGAGUGCAGCAGAGGGGAGUGGAAUUCCAUGUGUAGCAGUGAAAUGCGUAGAGAUGUGGAAGAACACCGAUGGCGAAGGCAGCUCCCUGGGUUGACACUGACGCUCAUGCACGAAAGCGUGGGGAUCAAACA